Molecule: ribosomal RNA, 406 nt
Filed under: uncultured bacterium
Lineage: Bacteria
Description: bacterial SSU rRNA
Rfam family: Bacterial small subunit ribosomal RNA
Source: RNAcentral
CACGUAUGCAACCAACCCAUAACAGGGGGAUAACCCGGAGAAAUCCGGACUAAUACCGCAUAAGACCACGAUAUCGCAUGAUAUAGAGGUCAAAUAUUUAUAGGUUAUGGACGGGCAUGCGUCCGAUUAGCUGGUUGGCGGGGUAAUGGCCCACCAAGGCAUCGAUCAGUAGGGGUUCUGAGAGGAAGGUCCCCCACAUUGGAACUGAGACACGGUCCAAACUCCUACGGGAGGCAGCAGUGGGGAAUAUUGGUCAAUGGGCGAAAGCCUGAACCAGCCAUGUCGCGUGAAGGAUGAAGGUCCUAUGGAUUGUAAACUUCUUUUGCAGGAGGGUAAAGUGAGCUACGUGUAGUUCAUUGCAAGUACCCUGCGAAUAAGCAUCGGCUAACUCCGUGCCAGCAGCAGC